CUGGCUCAGGACGAACGCUGGCGGCGUGCCUAAUACAUGCAAGUCGAACGGUCUUUCUAUGGAAGCUUGCUUCCACUGAGAAGAUAGUGGCGAACGGGUGAGUAACACGUGGGUAACCUGCCCAUAAGAGGGGGAUAACAUCCGGAAACGGGUGCUAAUACCGCAUAGUUUUCUUGAUCGCAUGAUCGGGAAAGGAAAGACGGCCUUUGUGCUGUCGCUUAUGGAUGGACCCGCGGCGUAUUAGUUAGUUGGUGAGGUAACGGCUCACCAAGACGAUGAUACGUAGCCGACCUGAGAGGGUGAUCGGCCACAUUGGGACUGAGACACGGCCCAAACUCCUACGGGAGGCAGCAGUAGGGAAUCUUCCGCAAUGGACGAAAGUCUGACGGAGCAACGCCGCGUGAGUGAAGAAAAGGUUUUCGGAUCGUAAAACUCUGUUGUCAGAGAAGAACAAGUUGGAGAGUAACUGCUCCAGCCUUGACGGUAUCUGACCAGAAAGCCACGGCUAACUACGUGCCAGCAGCGGC
Molecule: ribosomal RNA, 527 nt
Filed under: uncultured bacterium
Lineage: Bacteria
Description: bacterial SSU rRNA
Rfam family: Bacterial small subunit ribosomal RNA
Source: RNAcentral